RNAcentral lists this ribosomal RNA (301 nucleotides) under uncultured bacterium. RNAcentral describes it as "partial 16S ribosomal RNA". It matches the Rfam family "Bacterial small subunit ribosomal RNA", at positions 509 to 807 of the family's 1533-position model. The record is from RNAcentral.
CAGUAGCCGCGGGAAUACGUAGGUGGCAAGCGUUGUCCGGAAUCAUUGGGCGUAAAGGGCUCGCAGGCGGUUUCUUAAGUCUGAUGUGAAAGCCCCCGGCUCAACCGGGGAGGGUCAUUGGAAACUGGGAAACUUGAGUGCAGAAGAGGAGAGUGGAAUUCCACGUGUAGCGGUGAAAUGCGUAGAGAUGUGGAGGAACACCAGUGGCGAAGGCGACUCUCUGGUCUGUAACUGACGCUGAGGAGCGAAAGCGUGGGGAGCGAACAGGAUUAGAUACCCCUGUAGUCCCUGUCUCUUAUAC